RNAcentral lists this ribosomal RNA (253 nucleotides) under uncultured bacterium. RNAcentral describes it as "partial 16S ribosomal RNA". It matches the Rfam family "Bacterial small subunit ribosomal RNA", at positions 524 to 776 of the family's 1533-position model. The record is from RNAcentral.
UACGAAGGGGGCUAGCGUUGCUCGGAAUCACUGGGCGUAAAGGGUGCGUAGGCGGGUCUUUAAGUCAGGGGUGAAAUCCUGGAGCUCAACUCCAGAACUGCCUUUGAUACUGAAGAUCUUGAGUUCGGGAGAGGUGAGUGGAACUGCGAGUGUAGAGGUGAAAUUCGUAGAUAUUCCCAAGAACACCAGUGGCGAAGGCGGCUCACUGGCCCGAUACUGACGCUGAGGCACGAAAGCGUGGGGAGCAAACAGG